RNAcentral lists this ribosomal RNA (406 nucleotides) under uncultured bacterium. Its description in RNAcentral is "partial 16S ribosomal RNA". It matches the Rfam family "Bacterial small subunit ribosomal RNA", at positions 30 to 526 of the family's 1533-position model. The record is from RNAcentral.
AUUGAACGCUGGCGGCAGGCCUAACACAUGCAAGUCGAACGAGCGGCGGACGGGUGAGUAAUGUCUGGGAAACUGCCUGAUGGAGGGGGAUAACUACUGGAAACGGUAGCUAAUACCGCAUACCAUCAGAUGUGCCCCGAUGGGAUUAGCUAGUAGGUGGGGUAAUGGCUCACCUAGGCGACGAUCCCUAGCUGGUCUGAGAGGAUGACAAGCCACACUGGAACGGAGACACGUCCCAGAGUCCUACGGGAGGCAGCAGUGGGGAAUAUUGCACAAUGGGCGCAAGCCUGAUGCAGCCAUGCCGCGUGUGUGAAGAAGGCCUUCGGGUUGUAAAGCACUUUCAGCGGGGAGGCGUUACUCGCAGAAGAAGCACCGGCUAACUCCGUGCCAGCAGCCGCGGUAAUAC